Acanthosepion pharaonis is the source of this 99-nucleotide non-coding RNA. NCBI's taxonomy places the organism in Eukaryota, Metazoa, Mollusca, Cephalopoda, Sepiida, Sepiidae. The record is from the annotation of a GenBank genome assembly.
GUUGAAGCACCGAUUCCCGUACGAUCAAUGAAGUUAAGCCACCUCGAACCUGUUCAAUACCUAGAUGGGUAACCACUUCGGAAUGCCAGGUGCUGCAAG